This 494-nucleotide ribosomal RNA is filed under the name uncultured Acidobacteriota bacterium. RNAcentral's name for it is "bacterial SSU rRNA". It matches the Rfam family "Bacterial small subunit ribosomal RNA", at positions 38 to 510 of the family's 1533-position model. Lineage: Bacteria; Pseudomonadati; Acidobacteriota. The record is from RNAcentral.
GGCGGCGUGCCUAACACAUGCAAGUCGAACGCGAAAGCCCCGCAAGGGGUGAGUAGAGUGGCAAACGGGUGAGUAACACGUGGGUGAUCUGCCUCAGAGUGGGGGAUAACGACCCGAAAGGGUCGCUAAUACCGCAUAACAUCCUGCCUUUGGAUAGGUGGAGAUCAAAGCCGGGGACCGCAAGGCCUGGCGCUUAGAGAGGAGCCCGCGGCCGAUUAGCUAGUUGGUGAGGUAACGGCUCACCAAGGCAACGAUCGGUAUCCGGCCUGAGAGGGCGGACGGACACACUGGGACUGAGACACGGCCCAGACUCCUACGGGAGGCAGCAGUGGGGAAUUGUUCGCAAUGGGCGCAAGCCUGACGACGCAACGCCGCGUGGAGGACGAAGAUUUUCGGAUCGUAAACUCCUUUCGAUCGGGAAGAACAGCUCAUGGGUUAAUACCCUGAGAGUCUGACGGUACCGAAGAGAAGAAGCCCCGGCUAACUCUGUGCCA